This 475-nucleotide ribosomal RNA is filed under the name uncultured bacterium. RNAcentral's name for it is "bacterial SSU rRNA". It matches the Rfam family "Bacterial small subunit ribosomal RNA", at positions 26 to 518 of the family's 1533-position model. The record is from RNAcentral.
AGGACGAACGCUGGCGGCGUGCCUAACACAUGCAAGUCGAGCGAUGAAGCUCUUCGGAAGUGGAUUAGCGGCGGACGGGUGAGUAACACGUGGGUAACCUGCCUCAUAGAGGGGAAUAGCCUUCCGAAAGGAAGAUUAAUACCGCAUAAGAUUGUAAUAUCGCAUGAUAUAGCAAUUAAAGGAGUAAUCCGCUAUGAGAUGGACCCGCGUCGCAUUAGCUAGUUGGUGAGGUAACGGCUCACCAAGGCGACGAUGCGUAGCCGACCUGAGAGGGUGAUCGGCCACAUUGGGACUGAGACACGGCCCAGACUCCUACGGGAGGCAGCAGUGGGGAAUAUUGCACAAUGGGGGAAACCCUGAUGCAGCCAACGCCGCGUGAGUGAUGACGGUCUUCGGAUUGUAAAGCUCUGUCUUCAGGGACGAUAAUGACGGUACCUGAGGAGGAAGCCACGGCUAACUACGUGCCAGCAGCGGC